GAUGAACGCUGGCGGCGUGCCUAAUACAUGCAAGUCGAGCGAACAGACGAGGAGCUUGCUCCUCUGACGUUAGCGGCGGACGGGUGAGUAACACGUGGAUAACCUACCUAUAUUACUGGGAUAACUUCGGGAAACCGGAGCUAAUACCGGAUAAUAUAUCGAACCGCAUGGUUCAAUAGUGAAAGACGGUUUUGCUGUCACUUAUAGAUGGAUCCGCGCCGCAUUAGCUAGUUGGUAAGGUAACGGCUUACCAAGGCGACGAUGCGUAGCCGACCUGAGAGGGUGAUCAGCCACACUGGAACUGAGACACGGUCCAGACUCCUACGGGAGGCAGCAGUAGGGAAUCUUCCGCAAUGGGCGAAAGCCUGACGGAGCAACGCCGCGUGAGUGAUGAAGGUCUUCGGAUCGUAAAGCUCUGUUAUUAGGGAAGAACAAAUGCAUAAGAAACUAUGCACGUCUUGACGGUACCUAAACAGAAAGCCACGGCUAACUACGUG
Molecule: ribosomal RNA, 497 nt
Filed under: uncultured bacterium
Lineage: Bacteria
Description: partial 16S ribosomal RNA
Rfam family: Bacterial small subunit ribosomal RNA
Source: RNAcentral